Molecule: long non-coding RNA, 3349 nt
Organism: Triticum dicoccoides
Lineage: Eukaryota; Viridiplantae; Streptophyta; Magnoliopsida; Poales; Poaceae
Exons: 4
Source: RefSeq, a predicted model, not a curated record
CGGGCUCUCCUCUCUCCCUCUCCUCCCGAUCCCAGCCGCCAGGAGGCGCACGACCUGCGCGACGCUCGAUCCGGUGCCGCGCCGGCCGAUGGCCGACGCCGGUGAUCGGAGCACACUACACCACCGGUCUUCCUCAGCUCCUCCUUUCCUUUGCGCGCCCGACCUCCUCGCUGUACGCUGCCCAGGAGGGCUCGCGCUCGCCGCUCGACCAGAGCCACCACCAGCCAGUCCGGUUCCGCGCCGGCCGCCGGCCGAUGGCCGACGGAGGUGUUCGAAGCAUCCUGCACCACCAGUCUUCUUCGUCUCCUCCUUUCCUUCGCAUGCCCGAGCUCCUCGCUGUACGCCGCCCGGGAGGUCUCAUGCUCGCCGCUCGACCAGAGCCACCGCCAGCCAGUCAUCGCUGCACUUGCCCGCGACCUCUCCGUCCCUCUACACCGCCCUUCACCUCAACUUUAGACGCACAUGUGUUUGUGGAUGUUCUCAGUUAUUUUUUGCACACAAGGUGUUUGUGUGUUUGUCCCAGCCAGUUUCAGUCACAGAUCCUUGAGGUAAACUCCGACAUAUGAGACUAACUCUCCUUUCAUAUGAUUCAAAAAAUGGUAUGAUGGUGGGAGUUAAUUGGGUUACUAGAAUAAUGGGUUGCUAAUUAAUUUACAUCAUGUGGAGUCUCAAGACACAUGGGUACGCCGGCUCCUAUUGUUUGACAAAUGUAUUAUCAAAUUUUCUUUAAUCGUAUAAAGAAGUUGCAGUUUGGUGUUGCCCUUUUUUAUGCCUAGACACAGCAGCUCCAAUAAGAUCUGGACGCUCAUGGUGGAUAUAUUAAUUAUUCUUAUAAUGGUCAUCUGAAUUUGCAGAGACAAUUAGAUUUUGGAAGAAGAAUCCUUGCCUCAUAAGAUGGAUGAGCUGUAGGAUUUCGUUCUGUUCAUCUUGAAUUAGUUUUUCAUCAUCAUUUUCUUUGUAUUAGGAAUUCAUGCCUUCCAGCUCUAUUUUUUGCAUGGUUAGUGUAUGCUGGGAGUCACAUUGUUAUGCAUGCUAGCAAACAGUAGGAUUGAAAGUCUUACCCUGUAGGUUAUUAAUAUCUUUUCCACUAUAUUGAUGUUCAGCAAUUUAAUUCAUAUAAGGUCACAUAAGCAGUUUGGUUUUCAGAUCUGUCUUGACAAACAUAUUUGGUUCAGCAAUUUAAUUCGUAUUAAAGUCACACAAGCAGUUUGGUUUUUAGAUUUGUCUUGACAAACAUAUUUUGCAGACUAUCCUUGCAUAAACAAUUGAUUUCUGCAAGUUCCUUUCACUUCUUAUUAAUUUCUUCCCUUGGUUAUGAUGUACUGCUAUUCGUUUUCAUGAUGAUUCGUGUGUUUUGUAGUUUUCACUCACAGAAUCUUCUUUCUAAACAAGAUUGGUUCCCAUUGUUACGGUCAAGUAGCCACCGAGCAGUAAGGCCAUUGAGUGACACAAGACCGCGGGACAGCAUGAGAAGAAGCAGAGGGGUUUCUGGCGGGAUGGGGAAGACCACGAGGAAGUGUGGCAAUGGAGUGCAAUCCCGAUGAAGAAGAACAUUGCAAAGAAAGACCCUAGCCAAGCGCCACCCAAUUACCUCUCACCGACCAAUCUAAUGGCCAUAAAUUCAAUUGGUCCAAGCUGCUGCGUUGACCUUCCCAUUGAUCCACUACAUCCUCGCUCAGCUGCUUCUGCUAUGCUUCUUCUCCAUGGCAUUGCCAGCUGCCAGCGUGCCUGACAUCGCGCCUUAUGUGAGCCGAUAUGAUGCUCCUCUACGUGUUCUUAUCACCCCGUUUUCCAUGAGGAGAGAUCUUCUACGGUUCUGUAGCUCUACUCCAUAGUAAUGAUGAAGUCUCCUCAAGAUGGAUAGCAAUUAUCUCGGGAUCAUGAGCUGAGCAACGGCCAAGGGGCAUAUGCUUCUCCUACCACUAACAUCUUCAUCCUAUUUGAGCCAGAGUAGCUUUGGUGUCCUCUCUCACUCAUGGUGAGGCUGUGCACGUUUGCCAUCGUUGUGGCUACGAAAUCUCAGACUGAGUCGCAUCGGGCGGGCACUAUUCAGGAAAUAUGACAGCGAAGACGGCCUCCAUGCCUCUCGAUCGAGUAAAUCUCUCCUGGCCUUCAAGAGGCUGCUGGAAAUCAACCACCGCGAGGUCCUCAAGGAGCUCUACCGUAGGAAAAUCAACAACGUUCGAUACGUAUUCUGUUCCAAAGCUAUCUACUUCAUGGUGUACGAGAAGUACCGCAGCUGGCUCCUAGGCACUAUUCCCUCGCUCGGCGGCCGGCUGGUCAGGACUUGCUUGCCGGGUCGGCCGCGACGGCACAUCCCCAAUAGAUACGUAUCCCCUCAACUCGCCUGCUGUCAUAGUUUGCUUGGUACCCUCACUAAUACAUGUUCAAUCCGAUAUAUGUUAUGACAAUCUGAAGCGCGCCGGGCCAUGGACAAUGUUCGAUAAAGCGGCCAUUACUAGCGACGUGAUGGAGACAUUGUCCACAAUCCUUGAAUUGACUAGAAUCACAGGAGACCUGCAGUUUAAGAUGGUGCUCGUCUAUGCCUUUUUGGUCUAACUCUGAAAUCCAUCAGUACCUCUGGUUAGCCAAGGACGAGGUUGAAUUUUCAUUGGCUCAGAUUUGCUGUGGCAUGUUGGCAUUGCUAACUACCCAUAACACAUGGUCAAUCGAGUUUCAUUUUGGUAUUGUGAGUCUGGGAGCGCACAUGCACUCUGUUUACUGGCCAUUGAAGAGGGACGGCCUUUGCACGUCAGGGGGUUCAGAUUGACGGAAAAUUGAGCUGGACUGUUCUGCUCAUGUUAAUUGAUGGAGCUAAAUGUAUUGCCUGGCGGAAGAUUAGUAUAAUAGAAAAAUGGGGUAGGGUUGCUCGUCCGUUCCGUAUAGAACCAGAAGCCAAGAUACAAAUACACAAUUCAGAACCUUUAUGUGGUGUGAACAAGAUGAACAACAGGAGAGAAUGGAGAGGGAAUCGAAAUUAAAUGGAAAACAGGGUUAGCGGCUCAGAUCAGCGACAUGAACUCCUCGAUUUUCCCUAUUGUAUUAGCCCAAGUACGGAGUAUCUUUAUCCUGCUCUCGCCAGUGGGAUACGAAACGCACUCUUCCAUCCAGUUCCUCCACCCGGUCAACCCAAGUACAUUGCAAAUUUUGUUUGCUUGUAGGGAAGCAUCAUUGAAUUAAAUGUAUUUACGAGUUAUAAAUGUUAAGUAUGUGGAUACUUUUUCCCCGUUGCAAUGCACGAGCAUUUUGUAUCGGGCUGUCCUGGUGUUGCAACCUAGGAAGUACAAACAGGGUCCGUCGGCACCACAGAUGAAAACCUUGUUGAGCCUUAUUUUUGCAGGUUGCCUUA